CCUAAAUGAAUACCCUUUAUUUCUUUUCCUUGCGUGAUUGCUCUGGCUAGAACUUCCAAUACUAUAUUGAAUAGGAGUGGUGAGAGAGGGUAUCCUUGUCUAAUUCCAGAUUUCGAAGGGAAUGCUUCCGGUUUUUGCCCAUUCAGUAUGAUAUUGGCUGUGGGUUUGUCAUAAAUAGCUUUUAUUAUUUUGAGAUAUGUUCCAUUAAUACCUAGUUUGUCAAGAGUUUUUAGCGUAAAGAGCUGUUGAAUAUUGUCAAAGGCCUUUUCUGCAUCUAUUGAAAUAAUCAUGUGGUUUUUGUCAUUGGUUCUGUUUAUG
Molecule: long non-coding RNA, 318 nt
Organism: Cebus imitator (Panamanian white-faced capuchin)
Lineage: Eukaryota; Metazoa; Chordata; Mammalia; Primates; Cebidae
Exons: 3
Source: RefSeq, a predicted model, not a curated record